RNAcentral lists this ribosomal RNA (439 nucleotides) under uncultured bacterium. RNAcentral describes it as "partial 16S ribosomal RNA". It matches the Rfam family "Bacterial small subunit ribosomal RNA", at positions 339 to 795 of the family's 1533-position model. The record is from RNAcentral.
CUACGGGUUGCAGCAGUGGGGAAUAUUGCACAAUGGAGGAAACUCUGAUGCAGCAACGCCGCGUGGAGGAUGACACUUUUCGGAGCGUAAACUCCUUUUAUAUAGGAAGAAGAUGACGGUACUAUAUGAAUAAGCGCCGGCUAACUCCGUGCCAGCAGCCGCGGUAAUACGGAGGGCGCAAGCGUUACUCGGAAUCACUGGGCGUAAAGAGCGUGUAGGCGGAUUAAAAAGUCAGAAGUGAAAUCCUAUAGCUUAACUAUAGAACUGCUUCUGAAACUCUUAAUCUAGAAUAUGGGAGAGGUAGAUGGAAUUUCUGGUGUAGGGGUAAAAUCCGUAGAGAUCAGAAGGAAUACCGAUUGCGAAGGCGAUCUACUAGAACAUUAUUGACGCUGAGACGCGAAAGCGUGGGGAGCAAACAGGAUUAGAUACCCGGGUACUC